This 952-nucleotide long non-coding RNA is filed under the name Homo sapiens (human). RNAcentral describes it as "HSALNT0291039". The stretch from base 559 to 688 matches the Rfam family "Small nucleolar RNA SNORA61". Lineage: Eukaryota; Metazoa; Chordata; Mammalia; Primates; Hominidae. The record is from RNAcentral.
CCGGUGUCGACUUACUAGCUGCAAGCCUCUGCCUGCCUUCCUGCGCGCCGUUCCCCGCUAGUCGCUGCUGCUGGCGCGCACUCGCCGGGUUUUUCCUCCCACGGCCUCGAGAUGGUGGUGAAUGUGGCACGGAGGAGCCGGGCCUUCCAACCCGGUGGGCCCGAGCUCCGAAAGGCCCCCUCGGCAGUGAGAGGGGCGGGAGCCCGCGGGGGCCGCGCCCUUCUCUCGCUUCGGACUGCGCAACGCUGCGCUCUGGGCUGACAGGCGGAUAAAACGGUCCCAUCAAGACUGAGAAAAAGCACACCAGCUAUUGGCACAGCGUGGGCAGUGGGGCCUACAGGAUGACUGACUUAGUCUACAGAGAUCCCGGCGUACUUAAGCAGAUGAAGACUCUUAAGAUGACAGAAGGUGAUUUUUCUGGUGAUCGAGGACUUCCGGGGUAAUGACAGUGAUGAAAUGCAGGGGACCUGGUUGCCCCCAAGUUUCCUGGCAGUGUGUGAUACUGAGGAGGUGAGCUUGUUUCUGGAGCUGUGCUUUAAGGUAAAGUUGAUCAGCUUAAUCCUCCUGAUCCCUUUCCCAUCGGAUCUGAACACUGGUCUUGGUGGUCGUAAAAGGAGGAAAAGUAAUAGUGAAGCUGGCCUAAAUGUUGUAAUCUGGUAUAUGGCAUGUGGGCUAGUUUCAGACAGGUUUCAGAGAUGGUUGGAUCUCUGAAAUUGUAAAAUGAAGUAUAAUCUUAGGCUAAGGGAAGGAUGCGUGUGAAGCUCUGGAGAUUCAUGUUACAUGUAAAGCUGUCCUCAUUUGUGACUAUGGACCUAUGGAGUUGGGACAAUCUCUAUGGGAAGCAGAAGGCAAGGACCCCGGUCAUUUUAGGUAGAAACAACAGCAUGCUAAUGCAAAAAAUUAUGCAGUGUGCUACUGAACUUCAGAGGUGAUCAAUAAAAGAAGAAUAAAA